CCCAACUUUGGCGGACGACUCCGACUGACCAGCGGGCAUACCAACCGAUUAACGGUCGGAGCGCACCAACCGACAGCCGGGAGCGCCCGACUGACAGACGCUACCGACGGCCAUUCAAUGGCCCAUCGCCGACUGAGGAUAUGUCGGGCGUAUCUUUUCCGACCGACCGAACCCAGGGGUUUGAUGGUCGACUCAUGGGAAACUCACCGACCGACGGAGGAACCUGACGCCACUCCGCUGACCACCGACCCGGGGUCGGCCGACUCCUCCGAUCACCGUACAGCCGCCAGAGCCUGUCGGACCUGACAGCGACAUGCGGCACUGCCACCUAGGGGCAUUAUCCCACCUAGGGCAUUGUCAACCCUAGCGAUUUGACAGCCCCCGCGGCGAUGUGACAUCCUCACGGCGAUCCUGACAGUCUACGGUGAGUUGACAGUUCCUCACUUGUCUGCGCCAUUAAUGACGGCGCCAUAUCGUGCUCCACUAUAUAUACCGGGGAGGGCAAC
This 506-nucleotide long non-coding RNA is filed under the name Elaeis guineensis (African oil palm). RNAcentral's name for it is "long non-coding RNA (EGUI_LNC071591)". Lineage: Eukaryota; Viridiplantae; Streptophyta; Magnoliopsida; Arecales; Arecaceae. The record is from RNAcentral.